GUGCAUUCGUCAGCUUGGACCCCAAGAUUUCCAUCGAGAAGGCAUACAACAUUUCAUCGAUGCAGCUUCCUGAGUUACAAACCUGGUACUAGAUGCACCUCCAAAGAGCACAGGACUAUGUGCGAACCGUCUUGGAGCAAGCCCGGAAACCUUUUGUAUCCAGUACUAUUCCGAUGAGCAACAAACCCAAAAGGUUCCUCACCGUUAUAAUUGUUGCAGUUGUCGCAACUGGAAUGUCUGCAGCCAACUCUAUUACUGUCCAAAAACUGGAUAUGGAAAUCUUUGCGCUAAAGCAGUACAUUAACGAUAUUCAUCAGGUGACAGCAAAGAACACUUCUCCACUACGUGUUAAUUAUUGUGGAAGACACAGUUGUUACAACAAAUUUGCAUUCAG
This is a non-coding RNA of Pelobates cultripes (western spadefoot toad), 394 nucleotides long. NCBI's taxonomy places the organism in Eukaryota, Metazoa, Chordata, Amphibia, Anura, Pelobatidae. The record is from the annotation of a GenBank genome assembly.